UGGGGAAUUUUGGACAAUGGGCGAAAGCCUGAUCCAGCAAUGCCGCGUGUGUGAAGAAGGCCUUCGGGUUGUAAAGCACUUUUGUCCGGAAAGAAAUCCUUGGCUCUAAUACAGUCGGGGGAUGACGGUACCGGAAGAAUAAGCACCGGCUAACUACGUGCCAGCAGCCGCGGUAAUACGUAGGGUGCAAGCGUUAAUCGGAAUUACUGGGCUAAAGCGUGCGCAGGCGGUUUGCUAAGACCGAUGUGAAAUCCCCGGGCUCAACCUGGGAACUGCAUUGGUGACUGGCAGGCUAGAGUAUGGCAGAGGGGGGUAGAAUUCCACGUGUAGCAGUGAAAUGCGUAGAGAUGUGGAGGAAUACCGAUGGCGAAGGCAGCCCCCUGGGCCAAUACUGACGCUCAUGCACGAAAGCGUGGGGAGCAAACAGGAUUAGAUACCCUGGUAGUCCACGCCCUAAACGAUGUCAACUAGUUGUUGGGGAUUCAUUUCCUUAGUAACGUAGCUAACGCGUGAAGUUGACCGCCUGGGGAGUACGGUCGCAAGAUUAAAACUCAAAUGAAUUGACGGGGUCAUAGCUGUUUCCU
RNAcentral lists this ribosomal RNA (584 nucleotides) under uncultured bacterium. RNAcentral describes it as "partial 16S ribosomal RNA". It matches the Rfam family "Bacterial small subunit ribosomal RNA", at positions 355 to 1375 of the family's 1533-position model. The record is from RNAcentral.